GACGAACGCUGGCGGCGUGCCUAAUACAUGCAAGUCGAGCGCUGAAGCUUGGUACUUGUUCCAACUGGAUGAGCAGCGAACGGGUGAGUAACGCGUGGAGAAUCUGCCUUUGAGCGGGGGACAACAUCGGGAAACGAGUGCUAAUACCGCAUAAAAUCUUUAAACACAAGGUUUAAGUGUGAAAGAUGCUAUUGCAUCACCCUAAGAUGAUCCCCCGUUGUCUUAGCUAGUUGGUGAGGUAAAGGCGCCCCAAGGCGAUGAUACCUAACCGACCUGAGAGGGUGGGCGGGCCCACUGGGAAUGUGACACGCCCCACACGCCCCCGGGAGGCAGCAGUAGGGAAUCUCCGGCGAUGGGCGAAAGUCCGUCCGGGAGACGCCGCGCGAGUGAAGAGGGGGUUCGGGUCGUAAAACUCUGUUGGUUGAGAAGAACAUUGGUGAGAGUGGAAAUCUCAUCAAGUGACGGUAACUACACAGAAAGGGACGGCUAACUACGUG
RNAcentral lists this ribosomal RNA (497 nucleotides) under uncultured bacterium. Its description in RNAcentral is "partial 16S ribosomal RNA". It matches the Rfam family "Bacterial small subunit ribosomal RNA", at positions 28 to 507 of the family's 1533-position model. The record is from RNAcentral.